RNAcentral lists this ribosomal RNA (384 nucleotides) under uncultured bacterium. RNAcentral's name for it is "bacterial SSU rRNA". It matches the Rfam family "Bacterial small subunit ribosomal RNA", at positions 969 to 1375 of the family's 1533-position model. The record is from RNAcentral.
CCUUACCAACCCUUGACAUCCUAGGACCACCCGAGAGAUCGGGCUUUCACUUCGGUGACCUAGUGACAGGUGCUGCAUGGCUGUCGUCAGCUCGUGUCGUGAGAUGUUCGGUUAAGUCCGGCAACGAGCGCAACCCACAUCCUUAGUUGCCAGCAGUUCGGCUGGGCACUCUAGGGAAACUGCCCGUGAUAAGCGGGAGGAAGGUGUGGAUGACGUCAAGUCCUCAUGGCCCUUACGGGUUGGGCUACACACGUGCUACAAUGGCAUCAACAAUGGGUUAAUCCCUAAAAGAUGUCUCAGUUCGGAUUGGGGUCUGCAACUCGACCCCAUGAAGUCGGAAUCGCUAGUAAUCGCGUAACAGCAUGACGCGGUGAAUACGUUCCC